UGCGUGGCAGCAUUCAUUUCAUGUGAUCAAUGAUUGUUUGGGUUAUGAUUAAUAUGCUAGGGUGAGCAUCUCAUGCGAAUGUGUAGAAGGUGAAAAGUUUAAUUCAAGCCUUGGAGUUCACUAUUUUUAGUGGGCGAGUGUGAAGUUGUUGUAGUUUAAUAGAAAAUCUUGGCUUCGAGUUUUGUGACUUCCGGGAGAAAAUAGUUAGAAAGAAAGUUCGUGGUAGUGGUGUUAUCUUUUGAUGUUAAAGUUAGUUGAAGUGAUGUGGUGAGUUGCCCAUAGUAAUUCAAAGAGGUUCAUCUGCGAGUUGUGGAUGAUUCUAAUUUUGGGCUAAUUAGUCACGGGAGAUUUGUGGCUAAUAAAAAGGCUAUCAAUUUAGAGAAGUCUAGAUUGAUGACCAAAUUUCCAACUGCUUUGUCCGCAACGAAAGUCAGUUGGGAUUUUUGUGGUUAAUGCUUGUUAUGGUUGCGCAUGUUCUGGUCAUUCAGCUCUAAUUAAGGAUAUGUUCUUCUCCUUGGAAUCAUCAUAUUAAAGAGUAUAAUCAGAGCAUUUUGGAGAAAGAGGUUAAUAGUAGCCGAUGAAUAGUAGGAUUUCUGAUGAUUUUGGUCUCUUUUGUGGGUUAGUUGAAGUUUGUCAAAGCACUAAGUAGGAUGACUUGGAUUGUUGGUUUUACAAAAGUCAUUCGUCAGUGCGUUGUGACAACUUCUUGUCGUGCCACAGUCGGGGAAUUUUAAAAUUUUAUUGAUGGCACUAAGUGUUGAGUUUCAAGCAAGUUUGGAAUCGUGGAGUGAGAUGUCAGUUAUAUUAUUUUAAUCGUGGGGCCAGUAUGGAUUCUUUCGGAAUUCCAGGUGUUGAAGUUUGGUUUCUAGAUUUGUUGAGUGUUUGGGAAGAUGAUAAUGUAAAUGGAAUUGAAAAGUAAUGGUGGAGUGAGAGUGGGAUGGUUGUGGUCACUCCGGUUUUACGACAACACCUGGUGAAUUUAAUGUGUUGUCAUGGGUAUUCUUUAGCAGUUGGGUGGAGUUGGUGGAAGUGGUAGCAGUGGAAUAAAACCCACUGGAUCAAGGAGCAAGAGUGCGUGGGUGCCCAAAGUAAUUUUUUUAAGCAGUGUCAUUCCGGGUGGUUGAUUUAAGUCUCGACUUCGCGAUCGGAGUUGUUUGCUAACAUCUUUUCGUUAGCAUUUGGUGGCUAGCUACGACACCUCAAUGGGAGAAUAUAUUCUCUCGCCUUAUUUAUAAUUUGGUGAGAUGCAGCAAAGUUUUGGUUGUAGUGUGUGUGGGAAUAUUUAAAUUAUUCCUACUGUAGUUUUUGGGUUGCAUCCUCAGAGCUUGAAGUUAUGAAGUGCGAAUUCAAACUCUAUGUUUUGAGGGUUAGAGAUUCUGGUUAGUUGUC
RNAcentral lists this long non-coding RNA (1389 nucleotides) under Fragaria vesca (wild strawberry). RNAcentral's name for it is "long non-coding RNA (FVES_LNC004548)". The record is from RNAcentral. Lineage: Eukaryota; Viridiplantae; Streptophyta; Magnoliopsida; Rosales; Rosaceae.